GCGCUGAUAGCUCAGCUGGAUAGAGCAACUGCCUUCUAAGCAGUAGGUCGGGGGUUCGAGUCCCUCUCAGCGCG
Molecule: transfer RNA, 74 nt
Filed under: Eubacterium sp. CAG:251
Lineage: Bacteria; Bacillati; Bacillota; Clostridia; Eubacteriales; Eubacteriaceae
Rfam family: tRNA
About the family: Transfer RNA (tRNA) molecules are approximately 80 nucleotides in length. Their secondary structure includes four short double-helical elements and three loops (D, anti-codon, and T loops). Further hydrogen bonds mediate the characteristic L-shaped molecular structure. tRNAs have two regions of fundamental functional importance: the anti-codon, which is responsible for specific mRNA codon recognition, and the 3' end, to which the tRNAs corresponding amino acid is attached (by aminoacyl-tRNA synthetases). tRNAs cope with the degeneracy of the genetic code in two manners: having more than one tRNA (with a specific anti-codon) for a particular amino acid; and 'wobble' base-pairing, i.e. permitting non-standard base-pairing at the 3rd anti-codon position.
Source: Rfam by way of RNAcentral